GCCUCUAGGUCAAGCUAUUAAGGGCUACCGUCUAAUCUAUCUUAUAAGCUGAAAAGACUCGAGCUUCCAUUAUUCUCUACUCCCACAAUUUCGUAUGGUUCUGUUCUGAUUGGGAGGAAGGUCAUGGCCUCUAGGUCAAGCUAUUAAGGGCUACCGUCUAAUCUAUCUUAUAAGCUGAAAAGACUCGAGCUUCCAUUAUUCUCUACUCCCACAAUUUCGUAUGGUUCUGUUCUGAUUGGGAGGAAGGUCAUGGCCUCUAGGUCAAGCUAUUAAGGGCUACCGUCUAAUCUAUCUUAUAAGCUGAAAAGACUCGAGCUUCCAUUAUUCUCUACUCCCACAAUUUCGUCUGGUUCUGUUCUGAUUGGGAGGAAGGUCAAACAGUAUUUCUGAUUUUUUUUUUCGAGCAAAAAAACACGUAAUUUGUAUCACACUGCUGAUAUUGGCAGGUUAUCCACUGCUGAUCAAUUCUGGAGUGUAGCAGAACUGAACUCACACAUGUCUUUGCAUUAUCUGACACAGUCCAUCGUCGGAAUUUGGCAUGAAUCUAAUCCAUUUCAGCAAUGGAACAGUCUCAUAGAGCGAUUCUUUUCAUCGAGGAAGAUAGGGAUGCUGUGAUUCAUAAAUUGUUGCUUUUGGAAGUUCUUUCAAGGGUUGGUUCGUGUCAAAAUGAUCCAAGACAGGCCUAAUUCAAUAGUGUUUUAGCAGGAAAAACAUUGUGCAAUAUUGUCUCCAGAGUACUUUUACAUCAAAUUAGGGUACUGAAACCUAUUCCAAUGCUUAAACAAUGCCGAGACAACUUGAAUUCAAGUCCCUAAUUUUUUCACAUCAUGCAUGC
Molecule: long non-coding RNA, 835 nt
Filed under: Populus trichocarpa (black cottonwood)
Lineage: Eukaryota; Viridiplantae; Streptophyta; Magnoliopsida; Malpighiales; Salicaceae
Description: long non-coding RNA (PTRI_LNC001130)
Source: RNAcentral